Molecule: non-coding RNA, 113 nt
Organism: Acanthosepion pharaonis
Lineage: Eukaryota; Metazoa; Mollusca; Cephalopoda; Sepiida; Sepiidae
Source: the annotation of a GenBank genome assembly
UAUGACCAUAUCAUGCUGAAACACUGGUUUUCAUAUGAUCACCAAUGUUAUGCAACGUUGAGCCUGGUCGGUACCGAAAUGGGUGACCACUUGGGAAUACCAGGUGCUGUAUG